UGACAUUUCUUCAGGUGGGCGGGAACUCCUGCUUUCCUUCUCUUUGUCUAGUUGUUCUACUGGAUGGUUAAUUUGGACUUAUACUGUUAAGUCCUGUUGGAUGUCCUUUUUCUUUUUCUUUUGGACUGAUAAUGACAGAAUAAUGAAGGGAUAU
Molecule: non-coding RNA, 154 nt
Organism: Pseudonaja textilis
Lineage: Eukaryota; Metazoa; Chordata; Lepidosauria; Squamata; Elapidae
Source: RefSeq, a predicted model, not a curated record